This 240-nucleotide unclassified non-coding RNA is filed under the name soil metagenome. RNAcentral describes it as "partial contains 5.8S ribosomal RNA, internal transcribed spacer 2, and large subunit ribosomal RNA". The record is from RNAcentral.
AACGCACGAGACCUGCGGACCUGCGGAAGGAUCAUUACAGAAUUGUUCGAAUCCAUACGGACACAUUCUUAACAUCCGUAUCCACACCGGCAGGGCUUUCGGGCCUUUGCCGUAGGGUUCCUCUUUUCUCUUUCUCUGUUAGGGAAAGAGAGGGGGGUUCCUGUCUGACCUUUGCCUAUAAUUUUAAUUUUGUCUGAACUUUUAUUUUAUUAUAAAAUAAAAACAACUUUCAACAAUGGA